GACGAACGCUGGCGGCGUGCUUAACACAUGCAGGUCGAACGGAAAGGCCCUGUUUUUGUGGGGUGCUCGAGUGGCGAACGGGUGAGUGACACGUGAGUAACCUGCCCUUGACUGUGGGAUAACUUCAGGAGACUGGGGCUAAUACCGGAUAGGAGCUCCUGCUGCAUGGGGGGGGUUGGAAAGUUUCGGCGGUUGGGGAUGGACUGGCGGCUCAUCAGCGUGUUGGUGGGGUAGUGGCUUACCAAGGCGUUGACGGGUAGCCGGCCUGAGAGGGUGACCGGCCACAAUGGGCCUGAGAAGCGGGCCAGAGUCAUACGUGAGGCAGCAGUGGGGGAUAGUGCACAAUGGGCGGAGGCAUUGAGCAGCAUCGCCGCGUCGGGAAUGACGGCUGGCGGGGUGGAAAGCGCUUGCGCCUGUGACGAACCGUGAGUGACGGUAAUUGGUCAAGAAGCACCGGCUAACUACGUG
This 468-nucleotide ribosomal RNA is filed under the name uncultured bacterium. RNAcentral's name for it is "partial 16S ribosomal RNA". It matches the Rfam family "Bacterial small subunit ribosomal RNA", at positions 28 to 507 of the family's 1533-position model. The record is from RNAcentral.